RNAcentral lists this ribosomal RNA (468 nucleotides) under uncultured bacterium. Its description in RNAcentral is "partial 16S ribosomal RNA". It matches the Rfam family "Bacterial small subunit ribosomal RNA", at positions 28 to 507 of the family's 1533-position model. The record is from RNAcentral.
GACGAACGCUGGCGGCGUGCUUAACACAUGCAAGUCGAACGGAAAGGCCCUGCUUUUGUGGGGUGCUCGAGUGGCGAACGGGUGAGUAACACGUGAGUAACCUGCCCUUGACUUUGGGAUAACUUCAGGAAACUGGGGCUAAUACCGGAUAGGAGCUCCUGCUGCAUGUUGGGGUUUGGAAAGUUUCGGCGGUUGGGGAUGGACUCGCGGCUUAUCAGCUUGUUGGUGGGGUAGUGGCUUACCAAGGCUUUGACGGGUAGCCGGCCUGAGAGGGUGACCGGCCACAUUGGGACUGAGAUACGGCACAGACUCCUACGGGAGGCAGCAGUGGGGAAUAUUGCACAAUGGGCGGAAGCCUGAUGCAGCAACGCCGCGUGCGGGAUGACGGCCUUCGGGUUGUAAACCGCUUUCGCCUGUGACGAAGCGUGAGUGACGGUAAUGGGUAAAGAAGCACCGGCUAACUACGUG